AAGCUUCCGCAAUGGACGAAAGUCUGACGGAGCAACGCCGCGUGUGUGAUGAAGGGUUUCGGAUCGUAAAACGCUGUUGUUAGGGAAGAACAAGUAUCGGAGUCACUGCCGGUACCUGGACGGUACCUGACGAGAAAGCCACGGCUAACUACGUUCCAGGCGCCGCGGUAAAACGUAGGUGGCAAGCGUUGGCCGGAUUUAUUGGGCGUAAAGCGCGCGCAGGCGGUCUUUUAAGUCUGAUGUGAAAUCUUACAGCUUAACUGUAAGCGGUCAUUGGAAACUGGGAGACUUGAGUGCAGAAGAGGAGAGUGGAAUUCCACGUGUAGCGGUGAAAUGCGUAGAGAUGUGGAGGAACACCAGUGGCGAAGGCGGCUCUCUGGUCUGUAACUGACGCUGAGGUGCGAAAGCGUGGGUAGCGAACA
RNAcentral lists this ribosomal RNA (422 nucleotides) under uncultured bacterium. RNAcentral's name for it is "partial 16S ribosomal RNA". It matches the Rfam family "Bacterial small subunit ribosomal RNA", at positions 359 to 774 of the family's 1533-position model. The record is from RNAcentral.